UGCCAGUAGUCAUAUGCUUGUCUCAAAGAUUAAGCCAUGCAUGUCUCAGUACAAGCCAAAUUAAGGUGAAACCGCGAAAGGCUCAUUAAAUCAGUUAUGGUUCCUUAGAUCGUACCCACAAUUACUUGGAUAACUGUGGUAAUUCUAGAGCUAAUACAUGCAAACAGAGCUCCGACCGGAGACGGAAGGAGUGCUUUUAUUAGAUCAAAACCAAUCGGUGGCGGGCUCGCUCGUCAUCGUACAACUUGGUGACUCUGAAUAACUUUACGCUGAUCGCACGGUCAUCGCACCGGCGACGCAUCUUUCAAAUGUCUGCCUUAUCAACUGUCGAUGGUAGGUUCUGCGCCUACCAUGGUUGUAACGGGUAACGGGGAAUCAGGGUUCGAUUCCGGAGAGGGAGCCUGAGAAACGGCUACCACAUCCAAGGAAGGCAGCAGGCGCGCAAAUUACCCACUCCCGGCACGGGGAGGUAGUGACGAAAAAUAACGAUACGG
RNAcentral lists this ribosomal RNA (494 nucleotides) under Phyrdenus sp. ARC3968. RNAcentral describes it as "SSU rRNA". It matches the Rfam family "Eukaryotic small subunit ribosomal RNA", at positions 15 to 488 of the family's 1831-position model. The record is from RNAcentral. Lineage: Eukaryota; Metazoa; Arthropoda; Insecta; Coleoptera; Curculionidae.